RNAcentral lists this ribosomal RNA (253 nucleotides) under uncultured bacterium. RNAcentral's name for it is "partial 16S ribosomal RNA". It matches the Rfam family "Bacterial small subunit ribosomal RNA", at positions 524 to 776 of the family's 1533-position model. The record is from RNAcentral.
UACAGAGGUCUCAAGCGUUGUUCGGAUUCAUUGGGCGUAAAGGGUGCGUAGGUGGCGGGGUAAGUCAGGUGUGAAAUCUCGAGGCUCAACCUCGAAACUGCACUUGAUACUGCCUUGCUAGAGUACUGGAGAGGAGAUUGGAAUUUACGGUGUAGCAGUGAAAUGCGUAGAUAUCGUAAGGAAGACCAGUGGCGAAGGCGAAUCUCUGGACAGUUACUGACACUGAGGCACAAAGGCCAGGGGAGCAAACGGG